CCCGCUGCGUUGCACCGAGAUGCCCUUAUUUUCUCUUUAUUAUUGAACCCUAUGGUGUAAAGUUUCACGAUUGUACAUGUAUGUCACACUUGUAUUGGCCUAUGCAUUAGACGUCUCCAUUAGUUUACCUAUAUGAUCAUCUAAAAUAUUGUUUUGCAGUUUUUAUACUGUAGAGUGAAGUUUGAAUAUAAAAAUGAGGAUGGUGCUGGAUAUAGCCUUAUAGGCGCGCCCUGCAGAUUAUUUGCCGCGGUUGAGCUUUUGAGGGCCAGGCCGCAUAUAUAUUAAUAGAGGACUUUGUGUAAUGUUUCAUGGCUAUAUGGUACAGAAGGAUGCAUCUAGCGCAGGUCAAUGUGGUAGUAUCAUACGCUGUUUUGGUACGACGAGCAACUAGGAAUUCGUUUU
Molecule: long non-coding RNA, 402 nt
Filed under: Zea mays
Lineage: Eukaryota; Viridiplantae; Streptophyta; Magnoliopsida; Poales; Poaceae
Description: long non-coding RNA (ZMAY_LNC004054)
Source: RNAcentral